Molecule: ribosomal RNA, 253 nt
Filed under: uncultured bacterium
Lineage: Bacteria
Description: partial 16S ribosomal RNA
Rfam family: Bacterial small subunit ribosomal RNA
Source: RNAcentral
UACGUAGGGUGCAAGCGUUGCCCGGAUUUAUUGGGCGUAAAGGGCGCGUAGGCGGCUUUGCAAGUCGGGUGUGAAAUCCCCAGGCUUAACCUGGGAACUGCAUUCGAGACUGCAUUGCUAGAGUAUGGGAGAGGGAAGUGGAAUUUCCGGUGUAGCGGUGAAAUGUGUAGAUAUCGGAAGGAACAUCAGUGGCGAAAGCGACUUCCUGGACCAAUACUGACGCUCAUGUGCGAAAGCGUGGGGAGCAAACAGG